This 112-nucleotide microRNA precursor is filed under the name Eucalyptus grandis. RNAcentral describes it as "mir-399 microRNA precursor family". It matches the Rfam family "mir-399 microRNA precursor family". Rfam says of the family: mir-399 was identified in both Arabidopsis thaliana and Oryza sativa computationally and was later experimentally verified. mir-399 is thought to target mRNAs coding for a phosphatase transporter. The mature sequence is excised from the 3' arm of the hairpin. Lineage: Eukaryota; Viridiplantae; Streptophyta; Magnoliopsida; Myrtales; Myrtaceae. The record is from Rfam by way of RNAcentral.
UGGUGAAUUACUGGGCAUUUCCUCCUUUGGCAGGUGGCUUGUGACCACAAUUCGCUGGGAGUGAAUGUUAUAUAAGCUCACUGCCAAAGGAGAUUUGCCCGGCAAUUCACCG